This 273-nucleotide ribosomal RNA is filed under the name uncultured Eubacteriales bacterium. RNAcentral describes it as "uncultured Clostridiales bacterium partial 16S ribosomal RNA". It matches the Rfam family "Bacterial small subunit ribosomal RNA", at positions 68 to 339 of the family's 1533-position model. The record is from RNAcentral. Lineage: Bacteria; Bacillati; Bacillota; Clostridia; Eubacteriales.
AAGUUUUCGGAUGGAUUUAAAACAGCUUAGUGGCGGACGGGUGAGUAACGCGUGGGUAACCUGCCUCACACUGGGGGAUAACAGUUAGAAAUAGCUGCUAAUACCGCAUAAGCGCACAGCUUCGCAUGAAGCAGUGUGAAAAACUCCGGUGGUACAAGAUGGACCCGCGUCUGAUUAGCUGGUUGGUGAGGUAACGGCCUACCAAGGCGAUGAUCAGUAGCCGGUCUGAGAGGAUGAACGGCCACAUUGGGACUGAGACACGGCCCAAACUCC